This 1007-nucleotide ribosomal RNA is filed under the name Staphylococcus aureus. RNAcentral describes it as "bacterial LSU rRNA". It matches the Rfam family "Bacterial large subunit ribosomal RNA", at positions 1 to 1003 of the family's 2925-position model. Lineage: Bacteria; Bacillati; Bacillota; Bacilli; Caryophanales; Staphylococcaceae. The record is from RNAcentral.
AGAUUAAGUUAUUAAGGGCGCACGGUGGAUGCCUUGGCACUAGAAGCCGAUGAAGGACGUUACUAACGACGAUAUGCUUUGGGGAGCUGUAAGUAAGCUUUGAUCCAGAGAUUUCCGAAUGGGGAAACCCAGCAUGAGUUAUGUCAUGUUAUCGAUAUGUGAAUACAUAGCAUAUCAGAAGGCACACCCGGAGAACUGAAACAUCUUAGUACCCGGAGGAAGAGAAAGAAAAUUCGAUUCCCUUAGUAGCGGCGAGCGAAACGGGAAGAGCCCAAACCAAAAAGCUUGCUUGUUGGGGUUGUAGGACACUCUAUACGGAGUUACAAAGGACGACAUUAGACGAAUCAUCUGGAAAGAUGAAUCAAAGAAGGUAAUAAUCCUGUAGUCGAAAAUGUUGUCUCUCUUGAGUGGAUCCUGAGUACGACGGAGCACGUGAAAUUCCGUCGGAAUCUGGGAGGACCAUCUCCUAAGGCUAAAUACUCUCUAGUGACCGAUAGUGAACCAGUACCGUGAGGGAAAGGUGAAAAGCACCCCGGAAGGGGAGUGAAAUAGAACCUGAAACCGUGUGCUUACAAGUAGUCAGAGCCCGUUAAUGGGUGAUGGCGUGCCUUUUGUAGAAUGAACCGGCGAGUUACGAUUUGAUGCAAGGUUAAGCAGUAAAUGUGGAGCCGUAGCGAAAGCGAGUCUGAAUAGGGCGUUUAGUAUUUGGUCGUAGACCCGAAACCAGGUGAUCUACCCUUGGUCAGGUUGAAGUUCAGGUAACACUGAAUGGAGGACCGAACCGACUUACGUUGAAAAGUGAGCGGAUGAACUGAGGGUAGCGGAGAAAUUCCAAUCGAACCUGGAGAUAGCUGGUUCUCUCCGAAAUAGCUUUAGGGCUAGCCUCAAGUGAUGAUUAUUGGAGGUAGAGCACUGUUUGGACGAGGGGCCCCUCUCGGGUUACCGAAUUCAGACAAACUCCGAAUGCCAAUUAAUUUAACUUGGGAGUCAGAACAUGGGUGAUAAGG